UUUCCGUAGGUGAACCUGCCGAAGGAUCAUUACCGAAUUGUCAAACGGGUUGUUGCUGGUCUUCAAACGGGGACAUGUGCACGCUCUGUUUACACAUCCACUCACACCUGUGCACCCUCCGUAGUUCUAUGGUCUGGGGGACCCUGUCUUCCUGGCGUGGUUCUACGUCUUUACACACACUCUGUAAUAAAGUCUUAUGGAAUGUAUGCCGCGUCUAACGCAAUACAAUACAACUUUCAGCAACGGAUCUCUUGGCUCUC
This 260-nucleotide unclassified non-coding RNA is filed under the name plant metagenome. RNAcentral's name for it is "partial contains small subunit ribosomal RNA, internal transcribed spacer 1, and 5.8S ribosomal RNA". The record is from RNAcentral.